Cellulomonas sp. Root930 is the source of this 68-nucleotide non-coding RNA. NCBI's taxonomy places the organism in Bacteria, Bacillati, Actinomycetota, Actinomycetes, Micrococcales, Cellulomonadaceae. The record is from Rfam.
UCCGGUCCUCGGUAGUGGCUUCCGGAAGCUCUUCACGGCGCGUCCGGUGGCCUCGAUCGAAGAUCGCU